This is an RNA transcript of Magnolia sinica, 2104 nucleotides long. RefSeq lists it as uncharacterized. The record is from RefSeq and is a predicted model, not a curated record. The transcript is spliced from 4 exons. NCBI's taxonomy places the organism in Eukaryota, Viridiplantae, Streptophyta, Magnoliopsida, Magnoliales, Magnoliaceae.
AUCGUCUUUGUCAUCCAUUUCAUGAUAAUGAUCUGGGUUUUCGUUUACCUGUCCGUAUACUUAGCAUGUUUACCUUACCAAAAGGAUUUUAAAGAGCUCGUCUAGCUUACUCAAACCUGGCUAAGUUGGGGGAACUUGGUCAAUACUUCAACGUACUCCUAGAUGCAAUCAGUUUUGCAUAUCAAUGGUAAACUCAUUUGAUGCGUGAAAUCAUGAUGAGCUAUCCACCUCUAGAUAGAGCUUCUGUGACUCUUCUAAGUCUGUUUGUGCUAGAAAUAUUUGGGGAAGAUUGAAACCCAACCCAGUUUUCUUGAAAAAUUUAGCUUUUGGCUCGAGCAUCUUGUCUAACACAUAUCCACCUUUUCUGUUUCUCUAUCCCACUCAUUAUACUAUAUAUCAUGUACUAUGUUACAAUUAUCACAUUGCCUAGUAUUUGUGUGUGGAAACCUAAAUGGAGAUAAAGAGUUCCAGGUGUACACAGAGGCUGGUAGACACUAGUGUAUUCAAGUCUUAAUUCACAAUGAUAUGCAUCUAAUGGUCCAGUGAACAUGUCAUACUUUGUAUGAUAUUAAUAAAAUGGGUUAUAUGACUGAUUUUCAUGAAGGCAGACACUUGUGCAUUUAAGUCAUAAUUCACAAUGAUAUGCAUCUAAUGGUCCACUGAACAUGUCAUGCUAAUGUUAUGCUGUGUAUGCUAUUAAUAAAAUGGGGGUUUUGAAUGAUUUUCAUGAAUUCUAUUUAACAGAAAACCACUAUUUGAUAAGGUCUUGUUAUGUCCAAUCAUUUUUCCUUUUGUACUUAUUUCAUCAUGGUUCUAUCAUCUUUAUUUGGCUUAAAUGAUUUCAGAUAUCAGGUGGUUGGAGACACACUAUGGCAAUCACAUCUGAUGGAAAACUUUAUGGCUGGGGAUGGAAUAAGGUCGAUAUACCUAUACAGCAAAGCCAUCCACGGUACAGUUCAAACAUUGGAGAUAAGGAUCCAUAGGCCUCUGGCACAUACAUAUUUUGACUAGAUGGCACUCCUUAAACAGCUGCUUCAAGAUUGGUACCCUUGAAUAUUGUGCGAGGACCUAUAGUUGAUGAAGUUCAUCAACAAUUCAAUCUAUGGAUUUAUCAAGUUCUCUACCUUUUAUUCACCUAUCAAAUGAUCAUUUCAUCAAGAUUAAUUUAUAAUGUAGCUUAAUAGGAUUCUUUAUUAAAAAACAUCUCUAGUGUUUCAGAGUCAUAAAAAUUUUAUCCCUUUCUAUUUAAAUAAUUUAGAAAUUAUUUCAUUAUACUGUUCCUUUCGAGACCUCUAGACCCAAAAUGAUGGUGAAUAGAAACAUCUACCACAAUCAUUUCUUUGAGUCCCAAGCCAACGCAUAAUAUGAUGGAAGAAUCAACUAAGUAAUUGUACAUAUAACAGCAAGGGAUACAAGAGAAUGUGCAGUAGAGCCACCUCCAAAACAUACAGGACUAUGAAAAUAUAUUAUAAGAUAUUAGGACUUUUGAUGAGACUACAAUGAAAUAAAUAUAGAUAUAGUAAUGUUUUUCAGUCAUUGUUUCUCAUGGUUUAUUUUUCAAAUGUUUGCAGCCUUCUUUGAUACAUUGGUCAUGUUGAAUUGUGUUGGAAGAUAUCAAUAACAAUAUAGAACUGAGAGAUGUUUGCUUUAGCUACCCUACAAGACUUGACAUUCAUGUAUUUUCUAGGUUCUCAUUGCAUGUUCCAAGCGACAUAACUGUGGAUCUAGUUGGAGAGAGCGGCAAUGGGAAGUCGAUUGUGAACAGCCUGUUGGAGAGGUUCUAUGACCCCCAAGCUGGUGAAGUGCUCAUAGAUGGCAUCAACUUGAAGAAGCUGCAGCUUGUUAGCCAAGAGCUCAUCUUAUUCACAAUUACUAUAAAGGAGAAUAUCGCAUAUUGUAAGGCAGGUGCUACAUUGGAAGAAACUAGAACAGUAACUGAGAUUGCUAAUGCUGCAAGGUUUAUAGACAAGAUGCCACAAGUCGCUUGUACUUUUUUUUAUAAAUUCAUACUACUCUCUCAAAGAUGUUGUGGGUGAAAGGCUAGGAAAGGAAGACAUUAGUAGUUUUUUUUGAUAAAUUAAUUAUUUUGUUGACAUUAUGCUGA